Salvelinus fontinalis (brook trout) is the source of this 1273-nucleotide long non-coding RNA. RefSeq lists it as uncharacterized. The transcript is spliced from 6 exons. The record is from RefSeq and is a predicted model, not a curated record. NCBI's taxonomy places the organism in Eukaryota, Metazoa, Chordata, Actinopteri, Salmoniformes, Salmonidae.
UGUGCAGUUGCCAGGGAAGGCCAAAUCUAGAGUGCCCCAGAAGUGACAAAAAGGAAACUUUUUUGUUUGCCUGCCAUCGUGCGGACUGAGUCAAGGAGGAAUUUUAGCAACAUGUAAUUUACUCUUGGGUCUUUUUACUGUACGUAGCUUUAGAGAUGGUAAUUUCUCCCUUUGUCGGUGUGAAAAGAUAACCAUCAAUCAGUUGUCAAUUGGUCAAUUGCAGAGGUGAUGAAAAGGAAGGGGUUGAACAACCCCCUCUCUCUGGCUACCUAGAGUAUUCAGGAGCCUUGGAAAAACGUGGCAGCUGGAGCAGAGCAGGGAGUGGAUCCGUCACACAGGUACAGCAGCCACGGGGUAGCGAGCAAAACAGCAGCGCUCAGCGAGCAGCGUGAGCGGCGGUACGCUGAAGUAAGAGCACUGGCUUUUGGAAAGACCUGCAGACUACCGGGCGAGUAAAGAGAGAGAGAGAGAGACAGCCUGCCGCUGUUUCGGUCGAGCAGAGAGCGGGAUCUCCGGCGGCUGAAGAGUGGUUCUUGAAUCGGCCAGAUACUGUUCCAUCCUCUUUUCUGCCAAUCAAGCAAAGAUGAGGACAACACCCAAACUGGCACCGCCGUAUAAGAAGAGGACCCAAUUGUUCCAAAAGGCCUUGAUUUUGCUCCCCCGCCGUCCGCGCGGAGGCUGCCGCAGCUGUGGGCAGCAACAGGUGAGAAAAGGUGAGAGGACCCUGUUGACAUCCGUAUGACCGUAUGACCAAGACGAGACCUGUCUGUCCAGGAGACGGAGACCACACCAGAUAUGUUUUACCUGCCAUGGUUGUGAUAAUUGGAUUUUCUGGACACCUGUAUGAGUGCAGUAUAUCCAGCGGAUUAUAACCAGGGAGAGGGUGUCCUUCUGAUGUUCUUGAUGCACAUCCAAGGGUACUCGUCCGUUGAUGGGUGAUGGAGAUGAGGUUCCUUCUGCUAUAACCCUGGCCUUCAAGAACAGCUUCAAAGACAGGACCUAAGGAGAGAUCAGUCACGCAAAACACAUCUACACACCACUGCUUCUGCUGCAAAUGUGAGGGCAUGAUCUGUCUCUGUGAAGAAUAAACAAUAUGCACCUUGUGAAAUUCUCAGAACAUGGUUCAUUUUGAAACUGUUACAACUGAAACAACAGAACUUUUUACCAAUAGAGGUUACGCUGCUUAUGAUAUGAACUGUAUCGUCCACUGAUAUAUUGGAUUUCAUGAUGUUACAUAACUUCAAUCUGUGAUCAAAUUAAAUCAAUGAAAUCA